RNAcentral lists this ribosomal RNA (2902 nucleotides) under Escherichia coli. Its description in RNAcentral is "23S ribosomal RNA". It matches the Rfam family "Bacterial large subunit ribosomal RNA". The record is from RNAcentral. Lineage: Bacteria; Pseudomonadati; Pseudomonadota; Gammaproteobacteria; Enterobacterales; Enterobacteriaceae.
GGUUAAGCGACUAAGCGUACACGGUGGAUGCCCUGGCAGUCAGAGGCGAUGAAGGACGUGCUAAUCUGCGAUAAGCGUCGGUAAGGUGAUAUGAACCGUUAUAACCGGCGAUUUCCGAAUGGGGAAACCCAGUGUGAUUCGUCACACUAUCAUUAACUGAAUCCAUAGGUUAAUGAGGCGAACCGGGGGAACUGAAACAUCUAAGUACCCCGAGGAAAAGAAAUCAACCGAGAUUCCCCCAGUAGCGGCGAGCGAACGGGGAGCAGCCCAGAGCCUGAAUCAGUGUGUGUGUUAGUGGAAGCGUCUGGAAAGGCGCGCGAUACAGGGUGACAGCCCCGUACACAAAAAUGCACAUACUGUGAGCUCGAUGAGUAGGGCGGGACACGUGGUAUCCUGUCUGAAUAUGGGGGACCAUCCUCCAAGGCUAAAUACUCCUGACUGACCGAUAGUGAACCAGUACCGUGAGGGAAAGGCGAAAAGAACCCCGGCGAGGGGAGUGAAAAAGAACCUGAAACCGUGUACGUACAAGCAGUGGGAGCACAGAGCAAUCUGUGUGACUGCGUACCUUUUGUAUAAUGGGUCAGCGACUUAUAUUCUGUAGCAAGGUUAACCGAAUAGGGGAGCCGAAGGGAAACCGAGUCUUAACUGGGCGUUAAGUUGCAGGGUAUAGACCCGAAACCCGGUGAUCUAGCCAUGGGCAGGUUGAAGGUUGGGUAACACUAACUGGAGGACCGAACCGACUAAUGUUGAAAAAUUAGCGGAUGACUUGUGGCUGGGGGUGAAAGGCCAAUCAAACCGGGAGAUAGCUGGUUCUCCCCGAAAGCUAUUUAGGUAGCGCCUCGUGAAUUCAUCUCCGGGGGUAGAGCACUGUUUCGGCAAGGGGUCAUCCCGACUUACCAACCCGAUGCAAACUGCGAAUACCGGAGAAUGUUAUCACGGGAGACACACGGCGGGUGCUAACGUCCGUCGUGAAGAGGGAAACAACCCAGACCGCCAGCUAAGGUCCCAAAGUCAUGGUUAAGUGGGAAACGAUGUGGGAAGGCCCAGACAGCCAGGAUGUUGGCUUAGAAGCAGCCAUCAUUUAAAGAAAGCGUAAUAGCUCACUGGUCGAGUCGGCCUGCGCGGAAGAUGUAACGGGGCUAAACCAUGCACCGAAGCUGCGGCAGCGACGCUUAUGCGUUGUUGGGUAGGGGAGCGUUCUGUAAGCCUGCGAAGGUGUGCUGUGAGGCAUGCUGGAGGUAUCAGAAGUGCGAAUGCUGACAUAAGUAACGAUAAAGCGGGUGAAAAGCCCGCUCGCCGGAAGACCAAGGGUUCCUGUCCAACGUUAAUCGGGGCAGGGUGAGUCGACCCCUAAGGCGAGGCCGAAAGGCGUAGUCGAUGGGAAACAGGUUAAUAUUCCUGUACUUGGUGUUACUGCGAAGGGGGACGGAGAAGGCUAUGUUGGCCGGGCGACGGUUGUCCCGGUUUAAGCGUGUAGGCUGGUUUUCCAGGCAAAUCCGGAAAAUCAAGGCUGAGGCGUGAUGACGAGGCACUACGGUGCUGAAGCAACAAAUGCCCUGCUUCCAGGAAAAGCCUCUAAGCAUCAGGUAACAUCAAAUCGUACCCCAAACCGACACAGGUGGUCAGGUAGAGAAUACCAAGGCGCUUGAGAGAACUCGGGUGAAGGAACUAGGCAAAAUGGUGCCGUAACUUCGGGAGAAGGCACGCUGAUAUGUAGGUGAAGUCCCUCGCGGAUGGAGCUGAAAUCAGUCGAAGAUACCAGCUGGCUGCAACUGUUUAUUAAAAACACAGCACUGUGCAAACACGAAAGUGGACGUAUACGGUGUGACGCCUGCCCGGUGCCGGAAGGUUAAUUGAUGGGGUCAGCGCAAGCGAAGCUCUUGAUCGAAGCCCCGGUAAACGGCGGCCGUAACUAUAACGGUCCUAAGGUAGCGAAAUUCCUUGUCGGGUAAGUUCCGACCUGCACGAAUGGCGUAAUGAUGGCCAGGCUGUCUCCACCCGAGACUCAGUGAAAUUGAACUCGCUGUGAAGAUGCAGUGUACCCGCGGCAAGACGGAAAGACCCCGUGAACCUUUACUAUAGCUUGACACUGAACAUUGAGCCUUGAUGUGUAGGAUAGGUGGGAGGCUUUGAAGUGUGGACGCCAGUCUGCAUGGAGCCGACCUUGAAAUACCACCCUUUAAUGUUUGAUGUUCUAACGUUGACCCGUGAUCCGGGUUGCGGACAGUGUCUGGUGGGUAGUUUGACUGGGGCGGUCUCCUCCUAAAGAGUAACGGAGGAGCACGAAGGUUGGCUAAUCCUGGUCGGACAUCAGGAGGUUAGUGCAAUGGCAUAAGCCAGCUUGACUGCGAGCGUGACGGCGCGAGCAGGUGCGAAAGCAGGUCAUAGUGAUCCGGUGGUUCUGAAUGGAAGGGCCAUCGCUCAACGGAUAAAAGGUACUCCGGGGAUAACAGGCUGAUACCGCCCAAGAGUUCAUAUCGACGGCGGUGUUUGGCACCUCGAUGUCGGCUCAUCACAUCCUGGGGCUGAAGUAGGUCCCAAGGGUAUGGCUGUUCGCCAUUUAAAGUGGUACGCGAGCUGGGUUUAGAACGUCGUGAGACAGUUCGGUCCCUAUCUGCCGUGGGCGCUGGAGAACUGAGGGGGCUGCUCCUAGUACGAGAGGACCGGAGUGGACGCAUCACUGGUGUUCGGGUUGUCAUGCCAAUGGCACUGCCCGGUAGCUAAAUGCGGAAGAGAUAAGUGCUGAAAGCAUCUAAGCACGAAACUUGCCCCGAGAUGAGUUCUCCCUGACUCCUUGAGAGUCCUGAAGGAACGUUGAAGACGACGACGUUGAUAGGCCGGGUGUGUAAGCGCAGCGAUGCGUUGAGCUAACCGGUACUAAUGAACCGUGAGGCUUAACCUU